This is a long non-coding RNA of Musa acuminata AAA Group (dessert banana), 1193 nucleotides long. RefSeq lists it as uncharacterized. NCBI's taxonomy places the organism in Eukaryota, Viridiplantae, Streptophyta, Magnoliopsida, Zingiberales, Musaceae. The record is from RefSeq and is a predicted model, not a curated record. The transcript is spliced from 2 exons.
AUGGCUACGAUUCGGCAGUCGAUGCCGCCUCCGGUUCGCUUGGUGCAGGUCGGGAACGCCGCGAUCCGUCGGCGGACGAGCCGCUUCCCGCCUUGCACCAACUGAAUCGGAGGCGGAAAGCGACGACGUUCUCCUUCUUCCGCGGCUCCCGUUCGCGGGAUCUCGACGCCGCGAGGUCGGAUCGAGUCUCUUCGUUGACGUUAGAAUACUCAUCGUCUUUUCUUAUUCUGAUCGAUGCGGUUUUGUAGGCUCUGAUGAUGGUUUCCUCCCCUCUCUUCGGGUAUGCCUUCGGAGAAUUACUUGUGUAGCUGACGAUAUUUCAAGCAAAGGCUGAGGGAGAGGGAUGACAAGGGUUGUGCCCUGCUUCACAUUGGUGCCAGUAAGGGUGACCUGCAAGGUGUUGGUGUUUUUAUAUCUUCUCUCAUUUAUUAGCUUUAAAUUUCAAGUUGUCAACAAAAAAUGCUUAUCUGUCUAGAGUUAUUGCGUUAUUAGACUGGUACUUUGCUGUCUGCCUAAAUAAUUUAGUCCACUUAUUUAGUAUGUUAAAGAGUUAUUGUGUUAUUAGAAGUUUAAUUUGCCUUUUUGUGACUUGGAAGAAAUGCAUGCUCAUCUGCACAUUAGAGGAAAAGCCUAAGAUUCUACUGUAAAAUGGAAAAAUUAGUUUAGAUUGAUAUAGUUGAUAAAUGGGAUUAUAACAGAGUUAAUUAUCUUUGACACUGGAUUAUUUUCUUUUGCACAGAAGUAUAGGCCAUCCACUGAAUUCUUAAUCCAUAUUUAAUUGUCUAAUUGGUUCAAAAAAAUUAAACGUGAGCUAGAACAAUCUCACCACUGAAGAGUUGAAAAUGAAAAAAAAGUUAUUUUCUUUGUUCCUUUACCUUCACCUUAUUUUGUCAUUACUUGAUCAGGUUUGGUCGACUUGAUGCAUCAUUGUUCCAAAAUUGCUCUCAUUGAAGCACCAAGAAUCAUGCACAAUCUGGAUGAUACAUGUGCUCCAGUGUACCAAUUUCUAUCAGUGUGAUAUAAAAUGUCAACUUUUCCUGCCCUGACACCUGAGAGCCGUAAUGUGAUGUGUGUGUUUUUAUUUUAGUAAAUUACAUAUUUUGGUUUGCGAAAAAUUGCAAAUUUUACCUCCCUAGUGGGAAGUAUGUAGAAAUCACUCUGUAUGCUUAAGGAAUUUGAAUUUUAGAGGUUAU